Molecule: ribosomal RNA, 274 nt
Filed under: uncultured bacterium
Lineage: Bacteria
Description: partial 16S ribosomal RNA
Rfam family: Bacterial small subunit ribosomal RNA
Source: RNAcentral
AUACGGAGGGUGCAAGCGUUACUCGGAAUCACUGGGCGUAAAGCGCGCGCAGGCGGCUAUUUAAGUUGGAUGUGAAAGCCUACGGCUCAACCGUAGAACUGCAUCCAAAACUAUUUAGCUAGAGUGUGGGAGAGGAAGAUGGAAUUAGUUGUGUAGGGGUAAAAUCCGUAGAGAUAACUAGGAAUACCAAAAGCGAAGGCAAUCUUCUGGAACACUUCUGACGCUGAGGCGCGAAAGCGUGGGGAGCAAACAGGAUUAGAAACCCCAGUAGUCC